GAGUUUGAUCCUGGCUCAGGAUGAACGCUAGCGGCAGGCCUAACACAUGCAAGUCGAGGGGUAACAGAGGUAGCUUGCUACUUGCUGACGACCGGCGCACGGGUGCGUAACGCGUAUACAAUCUACCUUUUGCUAAGGGAUAGCCCAGAGAAAUUUGGAUUAAUACCUUAUAGUAUGCAGAGUUCUCAUGAACCUUGUAUUAAAGAUUACGGCAAAAGAUGAGUAUGCGUCCUAUUAGUUUGUUGGUGUGGUAACGGCACACCAAGACUACGAUAGGUAGGGGCCCUGAGAGGGGGAUCCCCCACACUGGUACUGAGACACGGACCAGACUCCUACGGGAGGCAGCAGUGAGGAAUAUUGGACAAUGGAGGCAACUCUGAUCCAGCCAUGCCGCGUGCAGGAAGACUGCCCUAUGGGUUGUAAACUGCUUUUAUACAGGAAGAAACACUCCCUCGUGAGGGAGCUUGACGGUACUGUAAGAAUAAGGAUCGGCUAACUCCGUGCCAGCAGCCGCGGUAAUACGGAGGAUCCAAGCGUUAUCCGGAAUCAUUGGGUUUAAAGGGUCCGUAGGUGGAUAAUUAAGUCAGAGGUGAAAGUUUGCAGCUCCACUGUAAAAUUGCCUUUGAUACUGGUUAUCUUGAGUUAUUGUGAAGUAGUUAGAAUAUGUAGUGUAGCGGUGAAAUGCAUAGAUAUUACAUAGAAUA
Molecule: ribosomal RNA, 704 nt
Filed under: uncultured organism
Description: bacterial SSU rRNA
Rfam family: Bacterial small subunit ribosomal RNA
Source: RNAcentral